GGCUCAGAUUGAACGCUGGCGGCAGGCCUAACACAUGCAAGUCGAAUGGUAACAGGAAACAGCUUGCUGUUUCGCUGACGAGUGGCGGACGGGUGAGUAAUGUCUGGGAAACUGCCUGAUGGAGGGGGAUAACUACUGGAAACGGUAGCUAAUACCGCAUAACGUCGCAAGACCAAAGAGGGGGGACCUUCGGGCCUCUUGCCAUCAGAUGUGCCCAGAUGGGAUUAGCUAGUAGGUGGGGUAACGGCUCACCUAGGCGACGAUCCCUAGCUGGUCUGAGAGGAUGACCAGCCACACUGGAACUGAGACACGGUCCAGACUCCUACGGGAGGCAGCAGUGGGGAAUAUUGCACAAUGGGCGCAAGCCUGAUGCAGCCAUGCCGCGUGUAUGAAGAAGGCCUUCGGGUUGUAAAGUACUUUCAGCGGGGAGGAAGGGAGUAAAGUUAAUACCUUUGCUCAUUGACGUUACCCGCAGAAGAAGCACCGGCUAACUCCGUG
Molecule: ribosomal RNA, 498 nt
Filed under: uncultured bacterium
Lineage: Bacteria
Description: bacterial SSU rRNA
Rfam family: Bacterial small subunit ribosomal RNA
Source: RNAcentral